GAUGAACGCUGGCGGCGUGCCUAAUACAUGCAAGUCGAGCGAACAGAUGAGGAGCUUGCUCCUCUGACGUUAGCGGCGGACGGGUGAGUAACACGUGGAUAACCUACCUAUAAGACUGGGAUAACUUCGGGAAACCGGAGCUAAUACCGGAUAAUAUAUUGAAUCGCAUGGUUCAAUAGUGAAAGACGGUUUUGCUGUCACUUAAAGAUGGAUCCGCGCCGCAUUAGCUAGUUGGUAAGGUAACGGCUUACCAAGGCGACGAUGCGUAGCCGACCUGAGAGGGUGAUCGGCCACACUGGAACUGAGCAACGGCCCAGACUCCUACGGGAGGCAGCAGUAGGGAAUCUUCCGCAAAGGGCGAAAGCCUGACGGAGCAACGCCGCGUGAGUGAUGAAGGUCUUCGGAUCGUAAAACUCUGUUAUUAGGGAAGAACAAAUGUGUAAGUAACUAUGCACGUCUUGACGGUACCUAAUCAGAAAGCCACGGCUAACUACGUG
This 497-nucleotide ribosomal RNA is filed under the name uncultured bacterium. RNAcentral describes it as "partial 16S ribosomal RNA". It matches the Rfam family "Bacterial small subunit ribosomal RNA", at positions 28 to 507 of the family's 1533-position model. The record is from RNAcentral.